Molecule: ribosomal RNA, 279 nt
Filed under: uncultured bacterium
Lineage: Bacteria
Description: partial 16S ribosomal RNA
Rfam family: Bacterial small subunit ribosomal RNA
Source: RNAcentral
UGCCAGCAGCCGCGGUAAUACGAAGGGUGCUAGCGUUGUUCGGAAUUACUGGGCGUAAAGGGCGCGUAGGCGGAAAUGCAAGCUUGGUGUGAAAUCCCGCAGCUCAACUGCGGAGCCGCGCUGAGAACUGCAUAUCUAGAGUUCAAGAGGGGAAGCUGGAAUUCCAGGUGUAGGGGUGAAAUCUGUAGAGAUCUGGAAGAACAUCAGUGGCGAAGGCGAGCUUCUGGCUAUGAACUGACGCUGAGGCGCGAAAGCGUGGGGAGCGAACAGGAUUAGAUA